CUAAGAAUAUUCCGCAAUGGAGGAAACUCUGACGGAGCAACGCCGCGUGGACGAUGAAGGCCGGAAGGUUGUAAAGUCCUUUUAUAAUUGAGGAAUAAGCGGGACAGGGAAUGGUUCCGCGGUGACUGUAGAUUAUGAAUAAGCACCGGCUAAUUACGUGCCAGCAGCCGCGGUAACACGUAAGGUGCGAGCGUUAUUCGGAAUUAUUGGGCGUAAAGGGCACGCAGGCGGCUUUGCAAGCUUGGUGUGAAAUCUCAGGGCUCAACCCUGAAACUGCAUUGAGAACUGCAUGGCUAGAGUUAG
Molecule: ribosomal RNA, 303 nt
Filed under: uncultured Treponema sp.
Lineage: Bacteria; Pseudomonadati; Spirochaetota; Spirochaetia; Treponematales; Treponemataceae
Description: bacterial SSU rRNA
Rfam family: Bacterial small subunit ribosomal RNA
Source: RNAcentral